RNAcentral lists this ribosomal RNA (260 nucleotides) under uncultured bacterium. Its description in RNAcentral is "partial 16S ribosomal RNA". It matches the Rfam family "Bacterial small subunit ribosomal RNA", at positions 524 to 782 of the family's 1533-position model. The record is from RNAcentral.
UACGUAGGGGGCAAGCGUUGUCCGGAUUUAUUGGGCGUAAAGAGCGUGUAGGCGGUUCGGUAGGUCCGUUGUGAAAACUCGAGGCUCAACCUCGAGACGCCGAUGGAAACCAUCGAACUAGAGUCCGGAAGAGGAGAGUGGAAUUCCUGGUGUAGCGGUGAAAUGCGCAGAUAUCAGGAAGAACACCCGUGGCUAAGGCGGCUCUCUAGUACGGUACUGACGCUGAGACGCGAAAGCGUGGGGGAGCGAACAGGAUAGAA